UGGAGAAGCAAACCCACCACCAUCA
RNAcentral lists this unclassified non-coding RNA (25 nucleotides) under Mus musculus (house mouse). Its description in RNAcentral is "oocyte_clustered_small_RNA49". Lineage: Eukaryota; Metazoa; Chordata; Mammalia; Rodentia; Muridae. The record is from RNAcentral.